GCAACCUCCCCAUGCAACGUUGACUUGGUAAGUAGAACCUCCCCUCUUUCAUUUUUGACAAUAACACCUGAACUUGAUCUAAACUCCUUUUGGUCAAAAGUAGUGUCGAAGUUUAUCCUAAUAAAAGGAUCUGCUGGAGGAACCCGUUCUAAACUGACACAGUUUUUGAUUACCCACAACGCACAACUAGCCAACGUGCAAUCGUCAUAAUUACCAAACUAGAAAACCCAGGACAUUUCUGGAAAGCAUGAUCAAUUGAUUCUGGGCCAACUCCAUACCUAAGACAGACUAAAAGAACACCCAAACGUCUGCUAUAGAGAUUAGCUAAAAUAGGUAAAUAGUUCCAUAAGAUUUUCCAAACUUGACUUUCUGUUUUGUAGUUAAAUUUAGAUUCCAUAAUUUCUUGUAUAAGCCUUUUGUGGCAUUUAAGAGCACUGUAGAUUCAGAAUCUCUA
Long non-coding RNA from Gossypium raimondii (Peruvian cotton), 454 nucleotides. RefSeq lists it as uncharacterized. NCBI's taxonomy places the organism in Eukaryota, Viridiplantae, Streptophyta, Magnoliopsida, Malvales, Malvaceae. The transcript is spliced from 3 exons. The record is from RefSeq and is a predicted model, not a curated record.